UGCCGCGCCACCACAGCCCACCUCCUAAAACAUCAUCCGCUCAAGAGAAAAAAAAACACAACACUGCUAUCGCUUUGUCCUCUCUCCCUUAUCUCUUUCUCUUCCGAUCUGAGCGGCGGCGGCGACGCUCGCAUCCGGCGACGGUUCCACCACUCCGCCCAUCUCUUCCUCCCACCACUCCGUCCAUCUCUUCCUCCCACCACUCCAUCACCAUCCCCACAUCGCUGCUGAUUUCCCAUGUUGAGGUGGUCCUGCAGCGCCGAUGCCCUCACCCAGCUGCCGGUGGCGGCGCUUUUUGUUCGUGCCCAAGCGCUCGGUGAGGUCACCUCUCACCUCCCUCCUAUGGUGCCACCGCCCCAAGCCCCCAACCCAUACGCAGCUCCCUCUUCCCCACUCCCAUUGUUGCAGAUCUGAGCGGGACAAGGUCUCUUCGGCCCUGGUGGUUCGGAACGAGGUGUGCGGCCUCUGCUCCCUUAACUUCUGGAGACUAGGGGCGCGGUGGCUGGUGCCCCAUCUCUCUUAGCCAUCCACAGCAGCAACAACAUCAGGUCAAACAAACUUUCAUAGGUUUGGUGGAUGUUUGGGCAAUUACUCAACUACUAACAAAAGGCCACUCGAUGAUUUUUAUACCUGCAUCACAUCAAGUGGAUUUGGAUAGCACACAAGCUGGCAUGGUCUUCAUCGUGGGUUCAAUCUCCACACGAGUGGAGUGGCCUCUGCCUUGUGCCGCAGCUGCGGACGGGCAGAGGAGACGACGACGUAGGGCACACGGAGCCAGCAACCCUAGAAGCCAUGAUGCCCGCGAACAAAAUUACCUGAAGGAUAGGAAACAGACUACCUGAUCUCACGGAUGCAUGUAGUCUUUUUUUCCUGAUGCGUACAACAAGCGAUCAGGGCAUCAAGGGAUGCUUUCUCACAUUGGGCGUUUGAGCUGGAAAAUUCGUGCUAGGCCAUUAGUGUCAAACACUAAAAGAAACCAGGUUUGCACUUUAUGUAUACGUACAGUUCAUAUCAGUACCAGGUAACGAAAACUCACAGGGGGGCGAGGCGAUGGGGGGUGUCUGACCCCUGCUCGCACCCCCCGCCUCCGCCUCUGACCUAGACUUGAUUAUUGUUUUAUCAUUGUGGUAGGUGACUAGCUAAAAUAAAUUUUGCAUAAUAAAUAUUAGCCAUUAAAGAUGACCAGCUCCAUGAUUAAUAAGUGAGGCUGCUUACUUUGUUAAGUUUGAGGAUUGGUAAUAAAAUAGGUACUUAUCCUGGAACCACUAAAAUCCAAGAUACAUGAUUUUGGUGGUUCCAGGGUAAGUACCUAUUUUGUUAUUUCAGCAUUAUACAUGAUUAAUGCUUUGAAGGUAAGUGUAAUAAACACAUGAUUGCUGUACAUGAAUCCAUGAUUAUUUUCUUUGGGAGAUACUAUAUUUUUCUUUGUAAAUGUAAUGAUUACAUCCAUUUAUGUGCAAUAACAUUGCAGAAUAUUCGAUAGAGAACUCAGCAAUCAAACCUACGUACAUGUUAACAUGUGAGGGUGCAACCGAAUAGCUGUACAUGAAUCUGGAACAAGAGGAAGAACCGAGCAUUCUUCAAGAAGCUGCUUCUAUUCGUGCACAAUGGCGUCGUAGUCAGGGUUCAAUUGACACAUGGUGUGUAAGCAUUUGCCUAUCUACCUAAAGGGUAUGCUGGAGGGUUGCCAACAUCAAUGUGCUAUGUGCUGCAGAAAUGGAUUUUCAAAAACCUCUAGCACAUGGUGUCCUAGGAAUUCCUGGAUAUGUCGACCUGCUAGCUCAUUAUCAGGAAAAAUAGGCAAGAAGACGAGGAAACAUGAAGACGGUGGUUUGUGUAAAUGGGAUAUUUUGUGUAAUGGUGACUGAAUCGUUGGAGAUGCACUUUAUAUAUCAUUUUGUAAACUCGCAUUGUGUCUGACAAAAUGAACCAUAUUGUAAUGGAUGAAGUAUUUACAUCUGAAAUUAAUUAAUGUGUUAUUGUUUGGUUAUGGUUUAUUAUUGUUAGGG
Molecule: ribosomal RNA, 2009 nt
Filed under: Triticum aestivum (bread wheat)
Lineage: Eukaryota; Viridiplantae; Streptophyta; Magnoliopsida; Poales; Poaceae
Description: partial small subunit ribosomal RNA
Source: RNAcentral